Molecule: small RNA, 356 nt
Filed under: uncultured fungus
Lineage: Eukaryota; Fungi
Description: eukaryotic LSU rRNA
Rfam family: 5.8S ribosomal RNA (bases 1-91)
Source: RNAcentral
AUGUGAAUAGCAGAAUAUCAGUGAAUCAUCGAAUCUUUGAACGCAUCUUGCGCUCCUUGGUAUUCCGAGGAGCAUGCCUGUUUGAGUGUCAUUAAAUAUCUCAAAACUCUUGUGCUUUUGUUGGCAUAGGACUUUUGGACAUUGGGAGUUUGCCGGCUGCUUGUAAAGUAGUGGGCUCUUCUGAAAAGCAUUAGUUGAGGAGCUUUGCACUCUAUUGGUGUGAUAAACUAUCUAUGCCAAGAAAUGCUUCUUGAUCCUCUGCUGUCUAACUGUCUAUAUAAGACAAAUAUGAUAAACUUGACCUCAAAUCAGGUAGGACUACCCGCUGAACUUAAGCAUAUCAAUAAGCGGAGGAA